This 566-nucleotide long non-coding RNA is filed under the name Homo sapiens (human). Its description in RNAcentral is "non-protein coding lnc-ZNF175-4:1". The record is from RNAcentral. Lineage: Eukaryota; Metazoa; Chordata; Mammalia; Primates; Hominidae.
AUUAUGACAAUUCUCUAAAUCCAGAGAGCUGACAUCCCAGAGGAGAUGGGUGUCACUAUGAAGAGAUGCACAGUUAUAGUGAAUCCCCUCAAGGAACCCAGCUGAGAAAUUCAACCCCAUCAAUAUAGGAAAGAAAAAGGAGAAGUUCUGUGUUGCCAAAUGGUGGGGAAAUGAAAGGUAACUGGCUAUUCUUCAAACCAUCCAUAGUCACAAACUGCCCACAGUCUGAGGUGUUACACAGACUUCCGUUGCCAGAUGAGGUUAGGUUUGCGUGUCCUCACUUCCUCAAAAAAAGUGAUUAUUCAGGACAGUGGGUCAUUUGUUGAAAUCUGACAUCUGUUAGAAGAGAAAUACAUCUGCAGAGUAUACAUGAGGACAGGCAUUUCUUGCUCAGUACCUGAAGCCCAAAAGGAUGAGUUGAUUCUUUAAGAAAAUAGCAUUACACUUGCAUCAAACCCAGCUGCUUUGAUUCAGCAAGCCAUGACAGUUAAAAAUAGGAAUAUCACUAAUUUUUCAGAUGGUAUCUAUAUUUCUGAAAAAGAAGAGAUCAGCAGGCUUAUAAAUAA